RNAcentral lists this ribosomal RNA (1438 nucleotides) under uncultured bacterium. RNAcentral's name for it is "partial 16S ribosomal RNA". It matches the Rfam family "Bacterial small subunit ribosomal RNA". The record is from RNAcentral.
AGAGUUUGAUCCUGGCUCAGAACGUACGCUGGCGGCACGCCUAACACAUGCAAGUCGAACGAAGUAGCAAUACUUAGUGGCAGACGGGUGAGUAACAUGUAGGUAUCUGCCCUUUGGCCUGGAAUAACACGAGGAAACUUGUGCUAAUACCGGAUAAGUCUUUACGGAGAAAGCUUUAUGCACCAUUGGAUGAGCCUGCACUUGAUUAGUUUGUUGGUGGGGUAAUGGCCUACCAAGACUGUGAUCAAUAGCUGAUUUGAGAGGAUGAUCAGCCACAUUGGGACUGAGACACGGCCCAAACUCCUACGGGAGGCAGCAGUGGGGAAUCUUGCACAAUGGAGGAAACUCUGAUGCAGCGAUGCCGCGUGAGUGAAGAAGGCCCUUGGGUUGUAAAGCUCUUUCGUCGGGGAAGAAAAUGACUGUACCCGAAUAAGAAGGUCCGGCUAACUUCGUGCCAGCAGCCGCGGUAAUACGAAGGGACCUAGCGUAGUUCGGAAUUACUGGGCUUAAAGAGUUCGUAGGUGGUUGAAAAAGUUAGUGGUGAAAUCCCAGAGCUUAACUCUGGAACUGCCAUUAAAACUUUUCAGCUAGAGUAUGAUAGAGGAAAGCAGAAUUUCUAGUGUAGAGGUGAAAUUCGUAGAUAUUAGAAAGAAUACCAAUUGCGAAGGCAGCUUUCUGGAUCAUUACUGACACUGAGGAACGAAAGCAUGGGUAGCGAAGAGGAUUAGAUACCCUCGUAGUCCAUGCCGUAAACGAUGUGUGUUAGACGUUGGAAAUUUAUUUUCAGUGUCGCAGGGAAACCGAUAAACACACCGCCUGGGGAGUACGACCGCAAGGUUAAAACUCAAAUGAAUUGACGGGGACCCGCACAAGUAGUGGAGCAUGUGGUUUAAUUCGAUGAUACGCGAGGAACCUUACCUAGGCUCUAAUGCGCGCGCUACUCUGUGAAAGCAGAAGUUCCUUCGGGACGCAAAGCAAGGUGCUGCAUGGUUGUCGUCAGCUCGUGCCGUGAGGUGUUGGGUUAAGUCCCGCAACGAGCGCAACCCCUAUCUUUAGUUGCCAGCACGUAAUGGUGGGGACUCUAGAGAGACUGCCGGCGUAAGCCGUGAGGAAGGUGGGGACGACGUCAAAUCAUCAUGGCCUUUAUGCCUAGGGCGACACACGUGCUACAAUGGCGUGCACAGAGGGUAGCCAGACCGCGAGGUUGAGCCAAUCCCAGAAAGCACGUCCCAGUUCGGAUUGGAGUCUGCAACUCGACUCCAUGAAGGUGGAAUCGCUAGUAAUCGCGCAUCAGCCAUGGCGCGGUGAAUACGUUCCCGGACCUUGUACACACCGCCCGUCAAGCCAUGGAAGCCGAGGGUGCCUGAAGAUGGUGACUUUAUUGAGAGCUAUCUAAGGUAAAAUUGGUAACUAGGACUAAGUCGUAACAAAGGUAACC